Long non-coding RNA from Etheostoma cragini (Arkansas darter), 2756 nucleotides. RefSeq lists it as uncharacterized. The transcript is spliced from 2 exons. Lineage: Eukaryota; Metazoa; Chordata; Actinopteri; Perciformes; Percidae. The record is from RefSeq and is a predicted model, not a curated record.
UAAAAGGCGUAUGUAUGCCAAUUUGUGUUAUCAAGACUCAUACUCGCUUUUUAGCGUGUUGAUCAACACCGUUCGGCCUCCAUUGACUUACUUACUUUGAGAUGGCGUGUUAAUUUUCGCCAUAGCGAGAAGUUUGUAAGGGCAAAAAUCUUCAUGAGAAGGUUGGUUGGGGUGGUGGACGGGUAAAACACAGGACUUCACCCAGGAGACCGGGGAUCGGGUCCCGUGUAUCACGUUUCUAAAGGCAACCGUUGGUUUCCUUUACAAAGCCAACCCCGUGUCACGUUUCCUAAACUCAACUGUUGUUUUCUUCUUGCGAUAACCCGCCAAGUGACGUGUACAUCAGCUGUGUACAUACACGCAGAUAGCUCAAAAUGCAUAACGCGCCACUUGGCUUUAGAAAGUCUGUUUGUUUGUUUACGCAAAGUCAUGUCCUGUUGCUUUUAUGACUGUUUGGUAAAUAUGAAUCUACAGCUCACAAACACUUAGCUUAUCCCAGCCCAAAGGAAAACAGUUCCAGCCCAUAACUUUCUUUAAAACCAAAAAUUGUCAUUUUUUCAAUUUUUUUAAGCAAAGUCCUUCCCCUGUUUUCAGUGGGUUUUUUUUAUCCUAAGCUUAGUUAAUUAACUGACAACUCUGACUUCAUAUCUAUCAUACAGACACAAGUGUUAUUGAUCCCCUGAUCUAAAUUUAAAAGUAUAUUUCCAAAAUACUUUCUUUAAAUUCAGGUCAGUGCGGUGCCAGUGUAGGUCAGGUUAAAGGUCUAAUGCUUGCUACAGUAAACUAAUCUACUAUGCCUAAUUAGCAUUUUUACAAUUCAUGAAAAACUUGUGAAAACAAGGUCAUGAACUACAUCUUGACAAUUUAGUUUGCCUCAACUAACUCCAGCUCUGGAUCAGUACAACUGUGCCAAAAUGGAAAUGGUUUAAAAGUACUAGUGAGCAUGUCAUCAGCCAGGUUAUCGUAGUGAAAUAGAGUAAAUUGCCCACACACAGAGGAAAACAAACAUAUUCUUUAUAGCCCCAUCAGACUGAUGUCAUCUUAAAUGGACUGUACACGUUGCAUUAGCAAAAUCCAUUAAAGUCAGCAAGCACAUCUGCAUCCAUUCCAAAUGCAGGAUGGUUUGUAGUGCAACACUCACAAGUGAACUGCUAUUUAGUCAGUUAGUCAUUAGUCUGCCAAACAUUUUAUUACAUCUUUUGUUCAGUAAAUGAAUUAUCAAUUGCAUAAUUUGAUUGCAUCUCCAUUGACUUUUCAACAAAUUAUAUUAUUUAUAGCUUAAAUAAAAAAGGCACUACACCAAACACAUGGGAUAUCAUUUUAAAAAGUACUAAAAUCCCUUAAAAGGAUACAAUAGUGUAUCAAUCGCACGUCAGUGGUUAAACAAAAAAAGUCUUUUACUCACCAAUAAAACUACCAGUUUUCAGAUACAGUGUGAUAACUUUAAGCUUUAGUGCGUAACUUUUUGAUAUUAAUGAACGUAUGUUCCAUUCAAGCCAUUGCCAGAAGAGUUGCUACAAAGCUAAUUAAGGCUCUACACAACUCUCUCUGUAACUCUCAGUAUAGCUAUGUUUAGAAGAUUGUGGCGUCCGCUGACUUCCGCGCAGAAGCUUGAGUGAAGAUAAUUACCUCUUCUGAAGAGUCCAUGCUUUUUAAAUCCUUUGUGUCCUACUUGAACUACUAUCAACUGCAUUAGGGAGGGUGGGGUACGGGAUGGGGCACAGUCACAGAAGGCUUGUAUCAUGUGGACACGCCUGUCACAGAAGGCUUGUAUCAUGUGAACGCGCAGACAGUGUUGUUGUUAUUACCUAGAAUUCCUCAUGGGGGCGACAGAAACUACGCACUAUAGCUUUAAGGAAGCAACACUGUAAUUGAGUCAAAAAGUAAAUCACAGCUACAGAAAACAAAAUGUCUUUUGAAACUGGAAUGGGGAAUUUUAAAUCUUUGUCUAUUACACAUGGAUUUUGCCGGCUGCUCGUUCACACAACUACGACACAAUGUCACCACCACUGGCAUCCUUCAGUGUUAUUUUAUGUUUGUUUUUUUUUGUUUUUACUUGACCAACGUGUGUAUUUGUACAGUUUAAUGUAUUACAUAUGAUCUCAAUAAUCAAGUUUAAUAUGACCCAUAAACUUGUGUCAGUCACAAUAAACUUGUGACUGUCAAAUAGUUUACUUAUUUUUAUUCAAAGGCCAAUAUCUGCCAAAUAUACUAUAUUGUUUAUAUUUAGAUACUUAUAUCUCCAGGCAAGACAGGAAAACAUCUAAACUGUUAAGUCUAGUCUGGAUGUUAUUGACCGCUGGUUGUAAUAUCCUUCAUUUCAACCCUAUCUCUUGGGUGUUUAUUGGUAAUAAUCGCUCUAUGUUGUUUUAAUGCCUUGUGAAACAAAGUGUUAUCUUUGUGCUGUGACUUAGGGGGCUUUUACACCUACCUCGUUUGGUCCGGACCUUCGGACUUUUCAGUUUGAUCCAAAUCAAAUCUUCAGGUGUGAAACCUUACACGGACCACAGUCCGGACCAAAUGGCCAGAAUUUGGUCCGCCCAAUAGAGGUAGUCUUGGUCCGGGUCAAACUGAACCACGAUCCGGUUAGUUUCGGACCAAAUACAGGAAAUUCUGACAGGCUAUCAUCGUGUUAUAAGAACAGGGAAGACCCUUUUUUUAAGGAAUAGCAUACAGCUGUCUGAUAUCACAGCUGAGAAUACAUCAGCAGUUUACUUGUUAAGUGGUAGUAAAUGUCUGAAUAAAUGCCGCAGAAA